UACGAGGGGUGCAAGCGUUGCUCGGAAUUAUUGGGCGUAAAGGGUAGGUAGGUGGUCUCAUUUGUCCGGGGUGAAAGCCUUGGGCUUAACUCAAGAAGUGCCCCGGAAACGGUGAGACUAGAGUCCUGGAGAGGGUCGUGGAAUUCCCGGUGUAGCGGUGAAAUGCGUAGAGAUCGGGAGGAACACCAGAGGCGAAGGCGGCGACCUGGACAGGCACUGACACUCAACUACGAAAGCGUGGGGAG
RNAcentral lists this ribosomal RNA (245 nucleotides) under uncultured Rudaea sp. RNAcentral's name for it is "partial 16S ribosomal RNA". It matches the Rfam family "Bacterial small subunit ribosomal RNA", at positions 524 to 768 of the family's 1533-position model. The record is from RNAcentral. Lineage: Bacteria; Pseudomonadati; Pseudomonadota; Gammaproteobacteria; Lysobacterales; Rhodanobacteraceae.